CGGCCCAGACUCCUACGGGAGGCAGCAGUAGGGAAUCUUCCGCAAUGGACGAAAGUCUGACGGAGCAACGCCGCGUGAGUGAUGAAGGUUUUCGGAUCGUAAAGCUCUGUUGUUAGGGAAGAACAAGUGCAAGAGUAACUGCUUGCACCUUGACGGUACCUAACCAGAAAGCCACGGCUAACUACGUGCCAGCAGCCGCGGUAA
This 204-nucleotide ribosomal RNA is filed under the name Bacillus altitudinis. Its description in RNAcentral is "partial 16S ribosomal RNA". It matches the Rfam family "Bacterial small subunit ribosomal RNA", at positions 327 to 523 of the family's 1533-position model. The record is from RNAcentral. Lineage: Bacteria; Bacillati; Bacillota; Bacilli; Caryophanales; Bacillaceae.